Molecule: ribosomal RNA, 502 nt
Filed under: uncultured Glomeromycotina
Lineage: Eukaryota; Fungi; Glomeromycota
Description: partial small subunit ribosomal RNA
Rfam family: Eukaryotic small subunit ribosomal RNA
Source: RNAcentral
CCAAUAGCGUAUAUUAAAGUUGUUGCAGUUAAAAAGCUCGUAGUUGAACUUCGGGGUUCACCCAUUGGUCAGGCUUAAUUGUCUGUACUGGUGAGAUGAGUCUCUACCUUCUGAGGAACUUUCAUGCCAUUUAUUUGGUGUGGUUGGAAAUCAGGACUGUUACUUUGAAAAAAUUAGAGUGUUUAAAGCAGGCUAACGUCUGAAUACAUUAGCAUGGAAUAAUGAAAUAGGACGGAUUGAUUCUAUUUCGUUGGUUUCUAGGGUCACCGUAAUGAUUAAUAGGGAUAGUUGGGGGCAUUAGUAUUCAAUUGUCAGAGGUGAAAUUCUUGGAUUUAUUGAAGACUAACUACUGCGAAAGCAUUUGCCAAGAAUGUUUUCAUUAAUCAAGAACGAAAGUUAGGGGAUCGAAGACGAUCAGAUACCGUCGUAGUCUUAACCAUAAACUAUGCCGACUAGGGAUCGGACGCAGUUAAUUUUAUAAUGACGUGUUCGGCACCUUACG